This 629-nucleotide ribosomal RNA is filed under the name uncultured bacterium. RNAcentral's name for it is "bacterial SSU rRNA". It matches the Rfam family "Bacterial small subunit ribosomal RNA", at positions 45 to 690 of the family's 1533-position model. The record is from RNAcentral.
CGAACGAAGCACAGAUGUAGAAUUUCUUCGGAAAGGAAGCGCCUGUGACUGAGUGGCGGACGGGUGAGUAACGCGUGGGCAACCUGCCCCAUACCGGGGGACAACAGCUGGAAACGGCUGCUAAUACCGCAUACGUUUUCGGUGCCGCAUGGCGCCGAAAAGAAAACUCCGGUGGUAUGGGAUGGGCCCGCGUCUGAUUAGCUAGUUGGGAGGGUAACGGCCUACCAAGGCGACGAUCAGUAGCCGGCCUGAGAGGGCGACCGGCCACAUUGGGACUGAGACACGGCCCAGACUCCUGCGGGAGGCAGCAGUGGGGAAUAUUGCACAAUGGGGGGAACCCUGAUGCAGCGACGCCGCGUGAGCGAAGAAGUACCUCGGUAUGUAAAGCUCUAUCAGCAGGGAAGAAAGUGACAGUACCUGACUAAGAAGCCCCGGCUAACUACGUGCCAGCAGCCGCGGUAAUACGUAGGGGGCAAGCGUUAUCCGGAUUCACUGGGCGUAAAGGGAGCGCAGGCGGCGCGGCAAGUCUGAUGUGAAAGCCCGGGGCUCAACCCCGGGUCUGCAUUGGAAACUGUCGAGCUGGAGUGUCGGAGGGGUAAGCGGAAUUCCUAGUGUAGCGGUGAAAUGCG